Oncorhynchus mykiss (rainbow trout) is the source of this 2243-nucleotide non-coding RNA. The record is from RefSeq and is a predicted model, not a curated record. Lineage: Eukaryota; Metazoa; Chordata; Actinopteri; Salmoniformes; Salmonidae.
ACACACACACACACACACACACACACACAAAGCAGAUGUUGAGCUGUUAUCUACAGUUCUGCAACAUACAGCAGUCACACCAUGUUGCUCAGUAUAGUCACACACACACAAACACACAAAGCAGAUGUAGCAAGCAGUUGUUUAAUCUCAUGAUGAAGCUCAAGUGCACAAACGCAGAUACCUCACACAGCCAACAUCAGAUAAUAUUUAAUCAUAUAUAUGUUAAUGGCUAUAAUGUAAAACACAGAAUCCCAUAACACUCCUACGAUAAGUGCCAUGGGAUCUUUAAUGACCUCCGAGAGUCAUGACACCUGUUUAACGUCCCACCCGAAAGACAGCACCCUACACAGGGCAGUUUUAGAAUUAUAUUAAUUACAUUAUAUUAACCCUCCAACACCACUCUCCAGCCCUCCAACACCACUUCCAGCAGCAUCUGGUCUCCCAUCCAGGAAGUGACCAGGACCAACCAUGCUUAGCAUCAGAAGCAAGCCAGCAGUGGUAUGCAGGGUGGUAUGCUGCUGGCAUUACUCUACCAACGAUUUGAACCCUAAAAUGCUCAUGGAACUUACGCAUGAAGCUCUUCCUCGUUUCUGUGUGCUGUUCAAUAUUAAACGACAUUUUCUGCCAAUGCAUAAACUCAGUAUGGCAACUAGAGAACGUUCCAACGGCCGCCAUGUAGGUCACUGGUUAUAUCACGCGGGUGCUGUAGUUCCGUAACAUAAGAUAAGUGUAGUUCUUAGAUUGUGCAGGUCCUGGUUAGUUUUCUUCGAUAUUUUUUCAGGUGAAAGGCACAUUUUUCUCGUAAUUUCAUUAACCACCGAAAUAUACCCUAAGGUAAAUUGCUUGCUUAAACCAUAGACAUUAAGGAGGCCUAAACAGAGAAAUCAAACUUAAGCAAACUGUUUCUACAUCAAGUGCCUUGAACAUACGUCACUAGCGCGGGAGUUAUUCAUUAUUCAGCGUCCUUCCUUUUGCAGUGUUCUGAGUUUAAUGACGUGACCACUUCGAUUCGCAUGUUUAUAACAUACCAGUAAAUAACAAUGUAAUCCUUUGCAUAAUUAACUGAUUUAAUGAAACACGUUCUUCAUUUGCUUUAAAUCAAAUGUCACCUACUGUCACGCACACAGAAUGGUUAGGCAUCAUUGGAAUAGGACUUAAAGGUUCAAUUUCUUCCAAGCCAACCACUAUUUCGUAAUCUCUCAGACAUGCCACAUACAAUGAGAACUCGUGGAACCACAAGAAAACUACAAUCCAGCAAUGACGAAGAGACAAAAAAUUGUGCCCGCAGUGAGGAUUCCCUAUUGGAGAUUGGUCAGGCAGUCCGGGGGGAAGGGGAAAGGCUCAGAUUGGAAGGUUGGGGGUUCAAUCCCCAGUCAAGUUAUACCAAAGACUCAAAUGGGACCUGAUGGAUCUGCUAGGCUUUCAGCACUAAGGAAAUGGAUUGGGGGAUUUGAAGACUCUUCCCAACCAAACUGGUUGUUGGGAUGUUUGGAACUACCGGGCCUGUAACUUCAUGCGAGACAUGAAAGCGGGGCAGCAAGUAUUCUUCUAGCACAGUAACUGAAAGGAGCAUUGAAUAUCUACGAGUUAUGAAGAUUGUAAAGGAGUCCUAUGUGGACCACAGUCAGUUUGACAAGACAGGUGUCCAUUACGACACCUCCAGCCAGGCAGACAACCCCAGAUGGAGUAUGAUAUGAAUGAUUUCAUGUUUACAUUUGUUUGUGUUUCAAAUGGCUGGAGAUCAAGAUACAUCACUGAUACGUAACAGGCUUUUUUUAAAUCCAAUUUAGACUGUACUAGUGCUCUGCUGGCUUGUUUCAUGUGUGACUGCCAGGUUGGUGUCCAGUUUGAGAGGAUGUUGAAGUACUUCAUUCCUCUGUCUGAGUUGAAGAAGACCCACCUGCAGCACAAGGCGCGCCCCUGAAUGGCUCUCUUCACCAGGGCCAGGCUGUCUGUCCAGCCCCUCACCAGUGGUACGUGGAGAUCAGUGACACUGAGUAAUAUGGUUGUCAAAUCUCCACCUCAUCCUAUUUUACAAAGCUUUUGUCUAAGUAAAAUCAUAUAUUAAAAUGAGUUUGGAGGACAAAGACCCACUGUGAAGAUUUGGACAAGAUGAUGCUGCUAAUAUGAUGUUUACUGUCUAUUGAACCAUUGUGCUUGUAUUGAAUGAAAAUUGGCUCAAGGUUUCUGUUUGUCAAACACCCUGGAGUUCAUUUCUAAUAUUAAAUGUUUAUAUUAAGACA